This 253-nucleotide ribosomal RNA is filed under the name uncultured bacterium. RNAcentral's name for it is "partial 16S ribosomal RNA". It matches the Rfam family "Bacterial small subunit ribosomal RNA", at positions 524 to 776 of the family's 1533-position model. The record is from RNAcentral.
AACGUAGGACGCAAGCGUUAUCCGGAGUUACUGGGCGUAAAGCGCGAGCAGGCGGCUCGACAAGUUCGCUGUGAAAGCUCCCGGCUCAACCGGGCGAGGCCAGUGGAAACUAUCGAGCUGGAGGGCAGUAGAGGCAGGCGGAAUUCCGGGUGGAGUGGUGAAAUGCGUAGAUAUCAGGAGGAACACCUGCGGUGUAGACGGCUUACUGGACCAUAACUGACGCUGAGGCACGAAAGCGUGGGUAGCAAACAGG